Molecule: ribosomal RNA, 484 nt
Filed under: uncultured bacterium
Lineage: Bacteria
Description: partial 16S ribosomal RNA
Rfam family: Bacterial small subunit ribosomal RNA
Source: RNAcentral
AUUGAACGCUGGCGGCAGGCCUAACACAUGCAAGUCGAGCGGAUGAAGGGAGCUUGCUCCUGGAUUCAGCGGCGGACGGGUGAGUAAUGCCUAGGAAUCUGCCUGGUAGUGGGGGAUAACGUCCGUAAACGGGCGCUAAUACCGCAUACGUCCUGAGGGAGAAAGUGGGGGAUCUUCGGACCUCACGCUAUCAGAUGAGCCUAGGUCGGAUUAGCUAGUUGGUGGGGUAAAGGCCUACCAAGGCGACGAUCCGUAACUGGUCUGAGAGGAUGAUCAGUCACACUGGAACUGAGACACGGUCCAGACUCCUACGGGAGGCAGCAGUGGGGAAUAUUGGACAAUGGGCGAAAGCCUGAUCCAGCCAUGCCGCGUGUGUGAAGAAGGUCUUCGGAUUGUAAAGCACUUUAAGUUGGGAGGAAGGGCAGUAAGUUAAUACCUUGCUGUUUUGACGUUACUAACAGAAUAAGCACCGGCUAACUUCGUG